GAUGAACGCUGGCGGCGUGCCUAAUACAUGCAAGUCGAGCGAACAGACGAGGAGCUUGCUCCUCUGACGUUAGCGGCGGACGGGUGAGUAACACGUGGAUAACCUACCUAUAAGACUGGGAUAACUUCGGGAAACCGGAGCUAAUACCGGAUAAUAUAUUGAACCGCAUGGUUCAAUAGUGAAAGACGGUUUUGCUGUCACUUAUAGAUAGAUCCGCGCCGCAUUAGCUAGUUGGUAAGGUAACGGCUUGCCAAGGCAACGAUGCGUAGCCGACCUGAGAGGGUGAUCGGCCACACUGGAACUGAGACACGGUCCAGACUCCUACGGGAGGCAGCAGUAGGGAAUCUUCCGCAAUGGGCGAAAGCCUGACGGAGCAACGCCGCGUGAGUGAUGAAGGUCUUCGGAUCGUAAAACUCUGUUAUUAGGGAAGAACAAAUGUGUAAGUAACUAUGCACGUCUUGACGGUACCUAAUCAGAAAGCCACGGCUAACUACGUG
RNAcentral lists this ribosomal RNA (497 nucleotides) under uncultured bacterium. RNAcentral describes it as "partial 16S ribosomal RNA". It matches the Rfam family "Bacterial small subunit ribosomal RNA", at positions 28 to 507 of the family's 1533-position model. The record is from RNAcentral.